UACCCGCAGCACAAGUGGUGGUCAUUAUUAUUGGGCCUAAAGCGUCCGUAGCUGGCCUGUUAGAUGCCUGGGUAAAUCGAUGCGCUCAACGUAUCGAACUCCGGGUAGACCGGCAAGCUUGGGACCGGGAGAGGCGUGAGCUACUCGAGGGGUAGGGGUAAAAUCCUGUAAUCCUUCGGGGAGGACCAGUGGCGAAGGCGUCACGCUAGAACGGCUCCGACAGUGAGGGACGAAGCCCUGGGGCGCAAACCGG
This 253-nucleotide ribosomal RNA is filed under the name uncultured bacterium. RNAcentral describes it as "partial 16S ribosomal RNA". It matches the Rfam family "Archaeal small subunit ribosomal RNA", at positions 474 to 727 of the family's 1478-position model. The record is from RNAcentral.